Lontra canadensis (Northern American river otter) is the source of this 106-nucleotide small nuclear RNA. Lineage: Eukaryota; Metazoa; Chordata; Mammalia; Carnivora; Mustelidae. The record is from RefSeq and is a predicted model, not a curated record.
GUGCUAGCUUUGGCAGCGCAUAUACUAAAAUUGAACAAUACAGAGAUGAUUAGCAUGGCCCCUGCGCAAGGAUGACACGCAAAUUCGUGAAGUAUUCCAUAUUUAA